UCGUAGGGAGACCGUGCUCCAUACCUGCGCCGCAGCUGCCGCCUCAGCCCUUCGGCUGGGGGGGGGAGGGGAAGGACUCUGGUGCUGCCUGGAACUUGUUUAUCUCGUGAGCUGCCACUCAAGCGGUGGCCCCGCCUUCCCCCUCACCUUUCUUCCCGAUUGGCCCAGGCUAAUCCCACCCAUUCGCUCCUUGGGCCACGGGCAUAGGCGGGAAUGGCUGUCCUGCUCGUCAGUCAGGGGCCCUGGCACGCGCUGCUGGGGCGGAGCUGCUGUGGACAGAGCGGCGGGGCCGUGGCAGCGCGGAGCGGGAGCUGCCUUCCGUGUUGCGCGGCUGGCCUCGGCCCGGCCUCGUGCCUCGCAGGGUGGUGUUGCCUGGACGGGGCAGGUGACGGCUCCGAGCGGUUGCGGAGGGGAUGGGCUGGGGGGUCCAUCUGUCCUUCCCCCGAGGGGUCAGAGGCGGAGAGAGCUGCCCCUCCCUGUGUAGCCCCCCCACCCACACACGCCCCUUUGCAGCAGAGCGGGGCGGGUCUGUCACCCUCGGCCCCCAAUAAAGUGCGGGCAGAAGAGGCCCGGCUGGGUAACGCUUUAGUUUCCUUCCCGACCAGACCAAGAGGACAAGAGAUCUGAAGGUGUCCACUAAAUCCUGCAUUGCACGCUGACAUUGCACUAGGGCAGAACCAUGGCUUAAGGAAGUGUUGCAAAACCAAAGGUUUGCCCAGUACUCGCUUCACAGAGGUGAACCUAUAUUGCCGGCCAGCCCAUGGCGGUGGGAGUGAGACACCAUGUGCACUCCUGACUCACCAUCAACCUGACAACAUCCCCAAGAGGCUACUACUCUCUUCUCUCCCUUGUUUGGAGGCCUCCAUGACUUAGUGUUUGGGGCUAAGGUCAUGCCAGAGCUAGAUGCGGAGCCCACUGUAGAAGAGCUAAGCAAGGCCAUUGAUUUGCUGUCAAGUGGCAAGGCUCCUGGAAAAGAUGGCAUCCAAGCAGAAAUCCUCAAGAGUGGGAAAGACAGCUAUUACCUUAUCUUCAUCAGCUGCUACUUAAAUUCUGGAAAGAGGGUGAGUUACCACAAGAGAGGCGUGGCACAAACAUCAUCACUUUGCGUAAAAACAAAGGCGAAAAGUAUCAGAGGGCUAGCCGUGUUAGUCUGUAUCCACAAAAACAAUGAGGAGUCCGGUGGCACCUUAAAGACUAACAAAUUUAUUUGGGCAUAAGCUUUGAAGAAGUGGGUUUUUUACCCAUGAAAGCUUAUGCCUAAAUAAAGGCAAAAAGGGUGACUGCAACAACUAAGGGGGUAUCUCGCUCCUAAGUGAAACAGGAAAAGCUUUCGCAAAAGUCACCUUAGUGCACCUACAACAGCUGGUGAAUCAUGUCUACCCUGAAUCACAGUGUGGAUUCGGGGCUUGAAGAUCAGCUAUAGACAGGAUAUUUUCUCUGCGUCAACUCCAAGAAAAGUGUAGAGAGCAAAACCAACCAUUGUACAUCACCUUUGUGAACAUAACCAAAGCAUUUGACACAGUUAGCAGAUCAGGUCUGUUUGCAGUACUAGAAAAGAUAGGCUGCCCACCAACCCUGUUAAGUCUGAUAUGUUCAUUCCACAACAAUAUGAAAGCAACUGUCCAAUUUGAAGGGUCCACUUCAGACAGCUUUGAGAUGAAAAGUGGAGUGAAGCAAGGAUGUGUUCUUGCCCCUACACUCUUUGGAAUUUUCUUCUUCAAAGACGGAGUGUAUCACCACACAAGAUCAGAUGGGAAACUCUUCAACCUGUCCUGACUUAAGUCAAAGACCAAAGUCAAAAAGGUGCUAAUCAGGGAACUUCUAUUUGCUAUGAUUCUGCCCUGAUAGCCCACAAUGAAGAUCUACUACAAGAACUCAUGGACCCCCCUUCAAGUGCCUGUCAGGCAUUUGCUCUCACCAUCAGCAUAAAAAAAUGGUUGUAUUAUGACAGGGGGUUCCACAAGAUCCUUCAGUUACCUUAAAUACAAACCUGAUAGCUGAACUUUUGGACUACUUCUAUUUAGAUUCUACAGUGACCACCAACUUCUCACUGGAUGAAGAACUAAAUGUUCGCAUUGGAAAAGCUGCCACCACCUUUAGCGGACUAACUAAAAGAGCAUGGAACAACUCAAAACUUACCAUAAAGACCAAAAUGCUAGUGUACUAAGCUUGCGUCCUCAGCACUCUCAUGUAUGGUGGGGAAACAUGGACAACUUAUGCUCAUCAAGAGAAAAGGUUAAACAGUUUCCACCUACGUUGUUUAUGCCACAUACUCAACACCAAAUGGCAAAAUAAAGACACCAACACAGAGGCUCUUCAAAGGGCAAAUUUACCUAGUGUGACAGCGCUGCUCAAGCAAAGACUACUGCACUGGCUGGGCCAUCUGAGUAGGUUGGAAGACAGAUGGAUACCCAAGGACAUGCUAUAUGGGGAGCUAUCAGAGGGAACAAGAACAGGACACCCCAAGCUUUGCUAUAAAAACACAUGCAAGUGAGAUAUGAAGGAAUUUGGAAUUGAUCCUGACCAAUGGGAAAUCUUGGCAAGUGAUCGUAACAGGUGGCGCCAUCAUCUCUAUCAGGGUAUCAAAGCCAAUGAGAGAAGCUGGCUCCUACAGCUUGAAGAGAAAAGAGCCCAUAGGAAGCAAGCAGCUCCCAACCAAGAUACAUGCAUUUGCCAGGGCGGAAAAAAAUUAGUGGGUGCUUAAGCACCCACCGGCAACCAGCUCCCCCCAUUCCCCAGCACCUCCUGCCCAUAGUGGUCCCACCAAUCAACUACUCCCCUCCCUCACAGCAUCUCCCAUCUGCCAUGGUUCAGCUGUUCUGCAGUGUGCAG
This is a long non-coding RNA of Caretta caretta (loggerhead turtle), 2832 nucleotides long. RefSeq lists it as uncharacterized. NCBI's taxonomy places the organism in Eukaryota, Metazoa, Chordata, Testudines, Cheloniidae. The record is from RefSeq and is a predicted model, not a curated record.